RNAcentral lists this ribosomal RNA (497 nucleotides) under uncultured bacterium. RNAcentral describes it as "partial 16S ribosomal RNA". It matches the Rfam family "Bacterial small subunit ribosomal RNA", at positions 28 to 507 of the family's 1533-position model. The record is from RNAcentral.
GAUGAACGCUGGCGGCGUGCCUAAUACAUGCAAGUCGAGCGAACAGACGAGGAGCUUACUCCUCUGACGUUAGCGGCGGACGGGUGAGUAACACGUGGAUAACCUACCUAUAAGACUGGGAUAACUUCGGGAAACCGGGGCUAAUACCGGAUAACAUGUUGAACCGCAUGGUUCAACAGUGAAAGACGGUCUUGCUGUCACUUAUAGAUGGAUCCGCGUCGCAUUAGCUAGUUGGUAAGGUAACGGCUUACCAAGGCAACGAUGCGUAGCCGACCUGAGAGGGUGAUCGGCCACACUGGAACUGAGACACGGUCCAGACUCCUACGGGAGGCAGCAGUAGGGAAUCUUCCGCAAUGGGCGAAAGCCUGACGGAGCAACGCCGCGUGAGUGAAGAAGGUCUUCGGAUCGUAAAACUCUGUUAUUAGGGAAGAACAAAUGUGUAAGUAACUAUGCACGUCUUGACGGUACCUAAUCAGAAAGCCACGGCUAACUACGUG